Molecule: transfer RNA, 73 nt
Filed under: Paramuricea clavata
Lineage: Eukaryota; Metazoa; Cnidaria; Anthozoa; Malacalcyonacea; Plexauridae
Rfam family: tRNA
About the family: Transfer RNA (tRNA) molecules are approximately 80 nucleotides in length. Their secondary structure includes four short double-helical elements and three loops (D, anti-codon, and T loops). Further hydrogen bonds mediate the characteristic L-shaped molecular structure. tRNAs have two regions of fundamental functional importance: the anti-codon, which is responsible for specific mRNA codon recognition, and the 3' end, to which the tRNAs corresponding amino acid is attached (by aminoacyl-tRNA synthetases). tRNAs cope with the degeneracy of the genetic code in two manners: having more than one tRNA (with a specific anti-codon) for a particular amino acid; and 'wobble' base-pairing, i.e. permitting non-standard base-pairing at the 3rd anti-codon position.
Source: Rfam by way of RNAcentral
GACCGCGUAGCUCAGUUGGCAGAGCAUUUGGCUAGUAUUCCAAAGGUCGUAGGUUCGAUUCCCACCGUGGUCA